This 253-nucleotide ribosomal RNA is filed under the name uncultured bacterium. Its description in RNAcentral is "partial 16S ribosomal RNA". It matches the Rfam family "Bacterial small subunit ribosomal RNA", at positions 524 to 776 of the family's 1533-position model. The record is from RNAcentral.
GACAGAGGCCCCGAGCGUUAGUCGGAAUCACUGGGCUUAAAGGGUGCGUAGGCGGGCGCGUAAGUGUUCUGUGAAAUCCCCGGGCUCAACCCGGGAACCGCAGGGCAUACUGCGCGUCUCGAGGAAGCUAGAGGCCGGCGGAACGAUCGGUGGAGCGGUGGAAUGCGUAGAGAUCGAUCGGAACGCCAAGGGUGAAGACAGCCGGCUGGGGCUUUCCUGACGCUGAGGCACGAAAGCGCGGGGAUCAAACAGG